RNAcentral lists this ribosomal RNA (458 nucleotides) under uncultured bacterium. RNAcentral's name for it is "partial 16S ribosomal RNA". It matches the Rfam family "Bacterial small subunit ribosomal RNA", at positions 338 to 795 of the family's 1533-position model. The record is from RNAcentral.
CCUACGGGCGGCAGCAGUGAGGAAUAUUGGUCAAUGGGCGAGAGCCUGAACCAGCCAAGUCGCGUGAGGGAGUACUGCCCUAUGGGUUGUAAACCUCUUUUGUCGGGGAGCAAAAGCCGGACGUGUCCGGCUGUGAGAGUACCCGAAGAAAAAGCAUCGGCUAACUCCGUGCCAGCAGCCGCGGUAAUACGGAGGAUGCGAGCGUUAUCCGGAUUUAUUGGGUUUAAAGGGUGCGCAGGCGGAUUUUUAAGUCAGCGGUCAAAUCGUGGGGCUCAACCCCAUCCAGCCGUUGAAACUGGGGAUCUAGAGUGUGCGAGAGGUAUGCGGAAUGCGUGGUGUAGCGGUGAAAUGCGUAGAUAUAAGGAAGAACACCAGUGGCGAAGGCGGAUUACUGGACGAUAACUGACGGUGAGGCGCGAAAGCGUGGGGAGCAAACAGGAUUAGAUACCCCUGUAGUC